AUUGAACGCUGGCGGCAGGCUUAACACAUGCAAGUCGAGCGGGGUGAUGGUGCUUGCACUAUCACUUAGCGGCGGACGGGUGAGUAAUGCUUAGGAAUCUGCCUAUUAGUGGGGGACAACAUCUCGAAAGGGAUGCUAAUACCGCAUACGUCCUACGGGAGAAAGCAGGGGAUCACUUGUGACCUUGCGCUAAUAGAUGAGCCUAAGUCGGAUUAGCUAGUUGGUGGGGUAAAGGCCUACCAAGGCGACGUUCUGUAGCGGGUCUGAGAGGAUGAUCCGCCACACUGGGACUGGGACACGGCCCAGACUCCUACGGGAGGCAGCAGUGGGGAAUAUUGGACAAUGGGGGGAACCCUGAUCCAGCCAUGCCGCGUGUGAAGAAGGCCUUAUGGUUGUAAAGCACUUUAAGCGAGGAGGAGGCUCUUUUGGUUAAUACCCAAGAUGAGUGGACGUUACUCGCAGAAUAAGCACCGGCUAACUCUGUGCCAGCCGCCGCGGUAA
This 501-nucleotide ribosomal RNA is filed under the name uncultured bacterium. Its description in RNAcentral is "partial 16S ribosomal RNA". It matches the Rfam family "Bacterial small subunit ribosomal RNA", at positions 30 to 523 of the family's 1533-position model. The record is from RNAcentral.